AGCGAACGCUGGCGGCAUGCCUAACACAUGCAAGUCGCACGGGGGGGCUUCGGCCUCCCAGUGGCGGACGGGUGAGGAACGCGUAGGGACCUGUCGAGGGGUGGGGGAUAACCGCGGGAAACUGCGGCUAAUACCGCAUGACGCCGCGGCGUGACAGCCGGGGCCAAAGGCGAAAGCCGCCCGCCGAGGGGCCUGCGUCCGAUUAGCUGGUUGGCGGGGUAGCGGCCCACCAAGGCGUCGAUCGGUAGCUGGUCUGGGAGGGUGAUCAGCCACACCGGGAGUGGGACACGGCCCGGAAUUCUACGGGAGGGAGCAAGUGGGGAUAUUGGACCAGGGGCGGCAGCCUGAUCCAGCCAGGCCGGGGGGGUGAAGAAGGUCUUCGGAUUGUAAAGCCCUUUCGGCGGGGACGAUGGUGACGGUACCCGCAGAAGAAGCCCCGGCUAACUUCGUG
Molecule: ribosomal RNA, 451 nt
Filed under: uncultured bacterium
Lineage: Bacteria
Description: partial 16S ribosomal RNA
Rfam family: Bacterial small subunit ribosomal RNA
Source: RNAcentral